RNAcentral lists this unclassified non-coding RNA (591 nucleotides) under Penicillium adametzii. RNAcentral's name for it is "sequence contains 18S rRNA gene, ITS1, 5.8S rRNA gene, ITS2, 28S rRNA gene". The stretch from base 221 to 374 matches the Rfam family "5.8S ribosomal RNA". Lineage: Eukaryota; Fungi; Ascomycota; Eurotiomycetes; Eurotiales; Aspergillaceae. The record is from RNAcentral.
AGUCGUAACAAGGUUUCCGUAGGUGAACCUGCGGAAGGAUCAUUACUGAGUGAGGGCCCUCUGGGUCCAACCUCCCACCCGUGUUUUAUUGUACCUUGUUGCUUCGGCAGGCCCGCCUCACGGCCGCCGGGGGGCCUCUGCCCCCGGGCCCGCGCCUGCCGAAGACACCCUUGAACGCUGUCUGAAGUUUGCAGUCUGAGCGAAAAGCAAAAUUUAUUAAAACUUUCAACAACGGAUCUCUUGGUUCCGGCAUCGAUGAAGAACGCAGCGAAAUGCGAUAACUAAUGUGAAUUGCAGAAUUCAGUGAAUCAUCGAGUCUUUGAACGCACAUUGCGCCCCCUGGUAUUCCGGGGGGCAUGCCUGUCCGAGCGUCAUUGCUGCCCUCAAGCACGGCUUGUGUGUUGGGCCUCCGUCCCCCACCCGGGGGACGGGCCCGAAAGGCAGCGGCGGCACCGUGUCCGGUCCUCGAGCGUAUGGGGCUUUGUCACCCGCUCUGUAGGCCCGGCCGGCGCCUGCCGACCCUCAUCAUCCUUUUUUCAGGUUGACCUCGGAUCAGGUAGGGAUACCCGCUGAACUUAAGCAUAUCAAUAA